RNAcentral lists this ribosomal RNA (372 nucleotides) under uncultured organism. RNAcentral's name for it is "partial 16S ribosomal RNA". It matches the Rfam family "Bacterial small subunit ribosomal RNA", at positions 527 to 896 of the family's 1533-position model. The record is from RNAcentral.
GUGGGUGGCAAGCGUUGUCCGGAAUUAUUGGGCGUAAAGCGCGCGCAGGCGGUCCUUUAAGUCUGAUGUGAAAGCCCACGGCUCAACCGUGGAGGGUCAUUGGAAACUGGGGGACUUGAGUACAGAAGAGGAAAGCGGAAUUCCAAGUGUAGCGGUGAAAUGCGUAGAGAUUUGGAGGAACACCAGUGGCGAAGGCGGCUUUCUGGUCUGUAACUGACGCUGAGGCGCGAAAGCGUGGGGAGCAAACAGGGAUUAGAUACCCUGUAGUCCACGCCGUAAACGAUGAGUGCUAAGUGUUAGGGGGUUUCCCGCCCCUUAGUGCUGCAGCUAACGCAUUAAGCACUCCGCCUGGGGAGUACGGCCGCAAGGCUG